Molecule: ribosomal RNA, 253 nt
Filed under: uncultured archaeon
Lineage: Archaea
Description: partial 16S ribosomal RNA
Rfam family: Archaeal small subunit ribosomal RNA
Source: RNAcentral
AACCAGCACCUCAAGUGGUCAGGAUGAUUAUUGGGCCUAAAGCAUCCGUAGCCUGUUCUGUAAGUUUUCGGUUAAAUCUAUGCGCUCAACGUAUAGGCUGCCGAAAAUACUGCAGAACUAGGGAGUGGGAGAGGUAGACGGUACUCGGUAGGAAGGGGUAAAAUCCUUUGAUCUAUCGAUGACCACCUGUGGCGAAGGCGGUCUACCAGAACACGUUCGACGGUGAGGGAUGAAAGCUGGGGGAGCAAACCGG